This is a long non-coding RNA of Gossypium arboreum, 313 nucleotides long. RefSeq lists it as uncharacterized. The transcript has 2 exons. Lineage: Eukaryota; Viridiplantae; Streptophyta; Magnoliopsida; Malvales; Malvaceae. The record is from RefSeq and is a predicted model, not a curated record.
GGUGAUGAGAAAAAAAAAGUUGUCUCAUCCAUGUUCUUCCCCCCCCCCCCUUUAGCCGUGACUUGAGAAAGAAAGAAAAGAAGAAGUUGGUUCUUCUUGGCCGUGAAUUGAAGGAGGAAGAAGAGGGGAAGUUCGGCCAAGGUGGUUCUUGGGAUUAAGUUCACGAGCUCAAGGAAUCAAUCUUGCAUAGCGGGAAGGCGAAUAUAAUUGAAUAGCCGUUUUGAAAUUGUUCAACAGUAUCCGAGGUAAGUUCUCAAGUGUUUGAACUUUACUUUAGUAUACUUGAAGAUUGUAUAAACUUAGUAGCGAGAAG